Molecule: unclassified non-coding RNA, 268 nt
Filed under: uncultured Eurotiomycetes
Lineage: Eukaryota; Fungi; Ascomycota; Eurotiomycetes
Description: sequence contains 5.8S rRNA gene, ITS2, 28S rRNA gene
Rfam family: 5.8S ribosomal RNA (bases 1-52)
Source: RNAcentral
AACGCAUAUUGCGCCCUCUGGUAUUCCGGGGGGCAUGCCUGUCCGAGCGUCAUUAUCCACAACUCAAGCACGGCUUGUUUGUUGAGCAAUUUGCUCUGUUAUGGAGCAGGCUUGAAAUGCAGUGGCGAACGAUACUGGAGUUUGGUGCCCGAGUGUUAUGGGGCUUUGUCACGCACUCCUGUGGCCCAGCCGGCGUUCUGCUGAAACCCCCCCUUACUUUAAAAGCUAGGUUGACCUCGGAUCAGGUAAGAGUACCCGCUGAACUUAA